RNAcentral lists this ribosomal RNA (501 nucleotides) under uncultured bacterium. RNAcentral's name for it is "partial 16S ribosomal RNA". It matches the Rfam family "Bacterial small subunit ribosomal RNA", at positions 29 to 523 of the family's 1533-position model. The record is from RNAcentral.
AUUGAACGCUGGCGGCAUGCCUUACACAUGCAAGUCGAACGGCAGCACAGGUGCUUGCACCUGGUGGCGAGUGGCGAACGGGUGAGUAAUACAUCGGAACGUACCUCAUCGUGGGGGAUAACGCAGCGAAAGCUGUGCUAAUACCGCAUACGCCCUGAGGGGGAAAGCGGGGGAUCGCAAGACCUCGCGCGAUUAGAGCGGCCGAUGCCUGAUUAGCUUGUUGGUGGGGUAAAAGCCCACCAAGGCGACGAUCAGUAGCUGGUCUGAGAGGACGAUCAGCCACACUGGGACUGAGACACGGCCCAGACUCCUACGGGAGGCAGCAGUGGGGAAUUUUGGACAAUGGGGGCAACCCCGAUCCAGCAAUGCCGCGUGAGUGAAGGAGGCCUUCGGGUUGUAAAGCUCUUUUGUCAGGGAAGAAACACCGGCUCUAACACAGUCCGGGAAUGACGGUACCUGAAGAAUAAGCACCGGCUAACUACGUGCCAGCAGCCGCGGUAA